CUCUGUCUGGCAGACUCGGAGGUUUGGGGGCAGUGAGGGGGUUCAGGGGGCCCUGUGGGGAGCCCUGGAGGGGUUUGGGGGGCUCUGUCUGGCAGAGUGGGAGGUUUGGGGGCAGUGAGGGGGUUCAGGGGGGCCUGUAGGGAGCCCUGGAGGGUUUGGGGGGCUCUGUCUGGCAGAGUGGGAGGUUUGGGGGCAGUGAGGGGGUUCAGGGGGCCCUGUGGGGAGCCCUGGAGGGUUUGGGGGCUAUGUCCGGCACAGUGGCAGGUUUGGGGUCAGUGAGGGGGUUGAGGGGGCUCUGUGGGGGGCCCUGAGCCCCCCACUGCCCCCCCAAACUUCCCACCCAGCAAUAAACAACCAGGGAUUCCGCGCCCCCAGCCCCUUUGUGCUCCAGCUGGUAACACUGUAUUCCGAAUAAAGUCUCCUGCGUUUACACAGGGAGAGUCACUCCAGAUUCAGGAAGCUGGGAGUGUGUGGCUCCCUUAGGGGGGGUGUCUCCCUCCGGGGGGGCCCUCACUGCGGGGAGCUCAUGGCGUGAGGGGGCAGCACUGCAGGUUGGUCCCAGAGGGCAGAGAAGCCAAGGGGCUCCCCCCAGGGAGACUGUGAUCCCAAGGGGGGCUGGUGCACUGAGGGGGUCCGCCCUAGGGGCAGUACCAGAGCUGAGUGAGAGCCAGGCCAGUGGAUCCUUGUGGUCCCCCCUCCGGUACACCUCCUCCACCGGGCCUGUCUCGUUCCCUCGCUCCGGCACUCCUCCUCCACCGGUCCUGUCUCGUUCCCUCGCUCCGGUACUCC
Long non-coding RNA from Gopherus flavomarginatus (Mexican gopher tortoise), 789 nucleotides. RefSeq lists it as uncharacterized. NCBI's taxonomy places the organism in Eukaryota, Metazoa, Chordata, Testudines, Testudinidae. The record is from RefSeq and is a predicted model, not a curated record. The transcript has 3 exons.